This is a long non-coding RNA of Lingula anatina, 936 nucleotides long. RefSeq lists it as uncharacterized. NCBI's taxonomy places the organism in Eukaryota, Metazoa, Brachiopoda, Lingulata, Lingulida, Lingulidae. The record is from RefSeq and is a predicted model, not a curated record.
AAUUGAUCUGAAUGGAGUAAAAUACACUUGAAACUGGAGGUAACAAGGAAGUACAGCCUACCAGUGGUGCUUACAUGUAAAGGUAUUGUUGAAGAAACAUGAGCUUGAUCAGACAUAUCCUGCUCCUUGUCGUGAUAUACUUGUAUAUGCCACAGAGCAAUGGGCAAUGCGUCGACCCUUGCGCCGAGAAGAAUGAGGUCACUCUGACCCAGCCCUGCCAGUGUGUAACCUGGUAUCUCACGUGCGAUAGUUGCUGCGCCAAAGUGUUUGGUCAAGGGAAAUACUUCUACCAGUGGAGCCAAAACAAAUUCUGCACUUGCUGUCGAAAGGACGACGUUGGAAAGGAAAAGACUGCGAACGAUGCAUUGGGCGAAUCGAAGAAAAGUUUCAAGCUUGUUAAUUGAAUGUUAUGUAUUUUGUGGAUCGAACUGAGGAACUGUGAUUACUUCUCCCACUUCCCGACGAAAUCUUGUAUCGUGAUUCAAACAAAUUACGGGUGACAGACAAAAAUGGGAGUUAUCAAUUGGUUGUGCUAUAUUGAGAACAUAAUUUCCUGAGAUGAUGUUUUAAAAAUUCAUUUGGUGAAGGGAAUUUGGAACCGAGUGAGCUGGUAGACGUAAUGGAUUUGUGCAUAUUUUUAAUGGUUGAUCAAUUACCAUAGCUUAUGACGAAAAAACUGUUAACACCAAUCACUUAAGCAUUGCAGUAAUUUAGCUUUAUUGCCAUGCUGAAAUUUUAUUCUCUUUCUAAUAAUAUACUUGCAAUAAUCUAGAAUUUUUCUGUCUCAUGUUUUUUAUUAAGUGAGAAGUUUGUGUACAUGGUAGUUUAAGCUGAGCACAUAUCUUUUAUUUUGUACAAAGAUUUAAUGAUUCAUAACGACAUUCACCUGAAUUAUGCAAACAUAUUUUUCACAUGUUAGAAUAAACUUCUUUGUGA